GUACACUCCUACGGGAGGCAGCAGUGGGGAAUUUUGGACAAUGGGCGAAAGCCUGAUCCAGCCAUGCCGCGUGCAGGAUGAAGGCCUUCGGGUUGUAAACUGCUUUUGUACGGAACGAAACGGCCUUUUCUAAUAAAGAGGGCUAAUGACGGUACCGUAAGAAUAAGCACCGGCUAACUACGUGCCAGCAGCCGCGGUAAUACGUAGGGUGCAAGCGUUAAUCGGAAUUACUGGGCGUAAAGCGUGCGCAGGCGGUUAUGUAAGACAGUUGUGAAAUCCCCGGGCUCAACCUGGGAACUGCAUCUGUGACUGCAUAGCUAGAGUACGGUAGAGGGGGAUGGAAUUCCGCGUGUAGCAGUGAAAUGCGUAGAUAUGCGGAGGAACACCGAUGGCGAAGGCAAUCCCCUGGACCUGUACUGACGCUCAUGCACGAAAGCGUGGGGAGCAAACAGGAUUAGAAACCCGAGUAGUCCCAUG
Molecule: ribosomal RNA, 477 nt
Filed under: uncultured organism
Description: partial 16S ribosomal RNA
Rfam family: Bacterial small subunit ribosomal RNA
Source: RNAcentral